CGUGAAGAGGGAAACAACCCAGACCGCCAGCUAAGGUCCCAAAGUCAUGGUUAAGUGGGAAACGAUGUGGGAAGGCACAGACAGCCAGGAUGUUGGCUUAGAAGCAGCCAUCAUUUAAAGAAAGCGUAAUAGCUCACUGGUCGAGUCGGCCUGCGCGGAAGAUGUAACGGGGCUAAACCAUGCACCGAAGCUGCGGCAGCGACACUAUGUGUUGUUGGGUAGGGGAGCGUUCUGUAAGCCUGCGAAGGUG
Molecule: ribosomal RNA, 250 nt
Filed under: Klebsiella pneumoniae
Lineage: Bacteria; Pseudomonadati; Pseudomonadota; Gammaproteobacteria; Enterobacterales; Enterobacteriaceae
Description: partial 23S ribosomal RNA
Rfam family: Bacterial large subunit ribosomal RNA
Source: RNAcentral